RNAcentral lists this ribosomal RNA (835 nucleotides) under uncultured archaeon. RNAcentral describes it as "bacterial SSU rRNA". It matches the Rfam family "Archaeal small subunit ribosomal RNA", at positions 1 to 843 of the family's 1478-position model. The record is from RNAcentral.
UUCCGGUUGAUCCUGCCGGACCUGACUGCUAUCGGAUUGAUACUAAGCCAUGCGAGUCAUUGUAGCAAUACAAGGCAGACGGCUCAGUAACGCGUAGUCAACCUAACCUAUGGACGGGAAUAACCUCGGGAAACUGAGAAUAAUGCCCGAUAGAACACUAUACCUGGAAUGGUUUGUGUUCCAAAUGAUUUAUCGCCGUAGGAUGGGACUGCGGCCUAUCAGUUUGUUGGUGAGGUAAUGGCCCACCAAGACUAUUACAGGUACGGGCUCUGAGAGGAGUAGCCCGGAGAUGGGUACUGAGACACGGACCCAGGCCCUAUGGGGCGCAGCAGGCGAGAAAACUUUGCAAUGUGCGAAAGCACGACAAGGUUAAUCCGAGUGGUUUCUGCUAAAGGAACCUUUUGUCGGUCCUAGAAACACCGAUGAAUAAGGGGUGGGCAAGUUCUGGUGUCAGCCGCCGCGGUAAAACCAGCACCUCAAGUGGUCAGGAUGAUUAUUGGGCCUAAAGCAUCCGUAGCCGGCGCUAUAAGUUUUCGGUUAAAUCUGUACGCUCAACGUACAGGCUGCCGGGAAUACUGUAGCGCUAGGGAGUGGGAGAGGUAGACGGUACUCGGUAGGAAGGGGUAAAAUCCUUUGAUCUAUUGAUGACCACCUGUGGCGAAGGCGGUCUACCAGAACACGUCCGACGGUGAGGGAUGAAAGCUGGGGGAACAAACCGGAUUAGAUACCCGGGUAGUCCCAGCUGUAAACUAUGCAAACUCAGUGAUGCAUUGGCUUGUGGCCAAUGCAGUGCUGCAGGGAAGCCGUUAAGUUUGCCGCCUGGGAAGUACGUACG